GUACUAACGGUGUUAAGUCAACCAUUAAAGUACUAAUUUAUCCUUUGCUGGAAACUUCAUUUUUAUUCUUGUAUUUUUAUCAUUUACGGUUUUGCCCUCCGUUCUAAAUUACAUCAAUAUAUAUACAUCAACGGAAGCACUAUUAAGAAUACAAUGAUAAAAAUGAAAUUUCCGAUAAAGGGUAAAAUGGUACUUUAAUGACUAACUUAACACCGUUAGUAUACUCCAUCCUAAAGAGGUUGAGUUCAAAAAAACAAGGGUAAAAAUAAAAACCCUAAAAAGAAGGGGUAAAAUCAAUAUUAGAGAUUGAAACAAGGGGAAGAACGAAAUUGCCCCAUAUAUGUAUGUAUAACAAAGUUAAAUUUGAAUGGUGUUACAUUGCCUUUGUCCAGUAGGUAUGUACAUACUAGAAAUGCGCACACUAACACAAAUAUCAAUACAGUGUAAAUGCAUUGAACACCUAGGAGAAAAUAAUCAUUGUUAAUAUAAAGAUGUAGAAAUAAAUAUUGAAUCUCAUACCGUAGAUUAUGAGAGUACCUAGACAUCUGGUAUCAUUAUGAAAAACAUAUAUCUUGAGCUACAAGACAGGAACCUAGGGAAGGGGAUGUAUUCCUCCCACCUUUGAUAAUCUCUACACUUAAAAGCUUAUCCGUUUUCUUGUGUUGUUUUGUCACAUGUUUCAGCUUGCUAGGCAAGGGAAUCCAUAGUAGCUCUCAUGAUGUAUUCAUCAGCCUAGCUGCAGAGUUCAACAUUAGUCGUAUAUUUGGAGGUCUGCAACCAUAAGAACAUAUAGUGUGGUUUUUAUGCAGUGGGAUAAUGCAAAUUGAUUUAUUUCUAAUGUUUGAUACAUUUUUUGCUUGGAAGUUAGGAAGAGGAAUUAGGUAUGCCUUCGCAUUUGUGCCUUGUCAUAGUUGUGUUUAAUCCUAACUUGAAGUUAGUUUGCCCAUUUGCUUUAGAAAUUCACAACCAAGUAGCCUGUUACUUGCAUAUUGUUCAAACUAAUUUUUUUCUUUUUAAGCUAAUUGUGAUGAACAUUUUCUUUCUUUUAUAUUUCUUAUAACACAGCGUGGAUUCAAUUGGAGCUUACAACAAGUACAUGAGCUGCCAACAUAAAGUUGCACUAGGAGAUCCUGCACCAAACAUCCCCUAAAUACAAACUAGUGGGAUGGAGAGAAGAUGGUACAUGCUCCACAUUCUGAUGUGAGAGGAAGCAUCAAGCCGGAGCUCAAGCGUUGUUACAGAUUAUGUUGGUUGUCUCAGGAAAUAUCAAAUACCACCAAAGGUCUCAUACUGUAUGAUGAAUGAUGCCCUUACUGCACAUAUGCUCAUUCCAUUUUGAACAAAAAGGAAUGGCACCUAUCUGAUUCUUUUCCCUUUUCAGCACAUCUCUCUCUCUCUCUCUUUAAUUUUACUGUACCCCCUAAACAUAGAGGGAGCAAAUAUUUCUGUGCAUUCAACUAGCAAUAGUACUAAAUCAGUCACAGAUGGAGCUUAACCAGUGGAGUUAAAUGUUUAUGAUUAUUGAAGGGCUUGGUGUGGCUUUCUCAAUGAAUAAUGUGGACAAGAGCUGUUACCGAAUCAUCAGUGGCAACUGCGCUUUUCUAAAAAUGGCCCCUUUAUCUUGGCACUAGGAGUAUGAUACUAAAGAAAUAUGAUGGAAGGUAGGUAGAAUUAUCCUUAUUUCCAAUUAUUUGUCAAGUAUUAUAGUAAUCAAGAACUCUUUUGUUGCCAUGAGGAAUACCGUUAUGUUUGUUCUGAUUCUUUGUAUGUUGUAUACACAGUUUCAUCCCAUUCUCUGAACUAUUAAUCAACCGAUAUUUUUGCAGGUUGUGAAUUGCAAAGCCACUCUUUCAGCCUUUAUCCUCUCAAUACACUUUCAUUCCAUAUCUUUACGAUUUGUCGUGUCUCUUGGCAACUUAGAAAUUAGUAUGGCAUACAAUCAUUCUCUUUUGAUGAAAUUCUUAUUCUUUAGGAAAAUUGUGUAGGUCACCUUAUUUUGAGCUUUCAAUUACUAUUUGCCGGUGCAUUCCCUUCGCUAAUGUCUUAUGUUUGCUAGUCAAAACACAUCUUUUCUGAGGUAUGUAGUUGUGUUUACUGAUCCAAAUGUGAAUUCAGUUUGUCUAGGUCAGAUUUAAUAAAUUCUACAUUUUAAUCGUAGUUUCUUACAAUAGAGAUCCAUCAAUCUUUUUACCCUGCCCUAUAUAAACUUUUGAGUAAAUGCAAUAAAGUUCCAAUUGAAAUGACCACUCAAGAGGUUAUAAUGGUCAUAUUUUACAUGGUUAAUGUGGGAGCAAGAUGGAUAAACAACUACCUGACAUUAUUGUAUUAUAGAACAGUGAUAAUUCUUAUUUCCGAAAACUACAUCACUCGUGUCGUACUCGUGCUCUGCUCCAUAUAUGAUGGCAAGACUCUUGUCAUUCCUAUACCUGUUGUAGCUUGGCAUGCAUGUAAGUUUUGGAAAAUCUAUUAACGUUAGUUGAUAUUGUUUGACAUAACAUAUUUAGCUUUCUAUGUCUGAGGAACUUGCUGCUCUUGAUCAUACAUGCACUUGGGAUAAUGUUCCAUUACCACCACAUUCAAUACCUAUACAUGCAAUUGGGUAUUCAAAACUAAGACCAAGUCAGAUGGACCCAUUAAGAGAUAUAAAGCUCGUCUUGUAGCUAGAGAGAUUUUUUAGCAAACUCAGGGAUGCGAUUAUGAUAAAACUUUUGCUCUAGUUGCUCAUAUGACUACCGUGUGUUCUCUGACUACAGUGGCUGCUACAUCUUCUUGGACUAUAUCUCAAAUGGAUGCUAAAAAUGCUUUCCUUCAUGGGGAUUUGCAUGAGGAAGUUUAUAUGCAGCCACCUCAAGGUGUUGAUGUCCCUUCAGGACAUGUUUGUCGACUUCGACAUGCUUUAUAUGGUCUUAAGCAAGCCCCACGUGCCUGAUUUGAGCAUUUUCACACCUAGUGACCAUGAUCCUGCUUUGUUUAUUCAUCUCUCUAUGUGGAUGUACUUUGCUGCUUUUAUAUGUUGAUGAUAUGUUGAUUACAGGAGAUGGCAGAUCACAUUUCUCAUGUGAAAAAGCAUCUUGGUGAGCAAUUUCAAAUGUCUGAACUGGAUCCUCUCAGUUAUUUCUUAGAAAUUGAGGUCCUGCACUCUCGAAAGGGGUCACUGUAUUCUUCUUGGUUCUUCACCUAUUACGUGGGACGUCCAAGAAGCAGGCAACUAUAUAUCGGCCUAGUACAGAGGCUGAACUUCGAGCACUUGCCACUACCACAUCAGAGAUUGUCUGGCUUCGAUGGUUGCUGGCUGACUCCGAUGUUUCCUAUGAUGCCUUCAUACCUCUUCCAUGUGAUAACACUGGAUCCAUACAAAUAGCUACUGAUCCUGUGAAGCUUGAGCUUACCAAGCAUAUUGGUGUUGAUGCUUUCUUUACUCGGGCUCAUUGUCAUCAGAAAACUAUUGCUCUUAAGUAUGUGCCCUCAGAGCUGCAGUUGGUAGAUUUUUUUCACUAAAGCACAAACUCGAGAGCAGUAUCGGUUUCAUUUGCUCAAACUCGGAGCUAUAGAUCCACCGCUUCCACCUUGAGUUUGAAGGGGGGUGUUAAGUGUAUAAAGGCACAUCUCCUAUCCCACAUGGCCCAUGAGCCUCUCUAUUUAUUGUUGUCCCCACUAAUGGAGUGAUUGCCUUCUCAAAUCCCUAAAGUUAGUAACAAUUCUAACCUGUCCAAACUACCUAUUAGUCUUAUAAAUUUAUGUUUUGUUGAGAUCUAUUAUUUUGAAAGCAUGAAUGAAAAUUUAGUAGUGAUAGGUGAUGGGUUGAUGUUGGAAGAAGCAAACGACGUAUUUAGACUAUGUUUGUGACUUUGUGAAUUAGUCAAAUCACUCUUGUUAUUCAGCAUGUACUAUUUUUCGUGAGAGUUUGAUGAGACUUAUUACUUUGAGCAACUCACCUCAUGGGAAUUAUGAUACAAAGAGAAGGGUAGAUGCUCUACAUUAAGAUUUGAAAAAAGGUAUCACGAAUAGUUUAUAAUCAACUUUGGUUCUCUUCUCUUAAGGUUGCUAGAAG
Oryza brachyantha (malo sina) is the source of this 4051-nucleotide long non-coding RNA. RefSeq lists it as uncharacterized. The record is from RefSeq and is a predicted model, not a curated record. The transcript has 5 exons. Lineage: Eukaryota; Viridiplantae; Streptophyta; Magnoliopsida; Poales; Poaceae.